CCAGGACAUCUCAUCCGGGUGUCUCAGGUUGUUGUUAAUCUGCAACAGUAGCAUGAAUUUACACUCGUUAUUCUGGGUCCUCCUCCUUAGGGUCAGUGCCCAGAACUUGGUUAGCUGCACCGGGCAAAUAAAGCUGCUGUUCUCCUGCUCCUGUGUGUGCCCAGAGCUUUCUCAAGUGUAAUUCAUCAGAACUAGUCUUAUGCUCUGAGAAGCAAACCUCAGAUACUGUGACCAGUCCCAGGUCAGACUCUUGAGUAGCCAGUAGCUCUGAGCCCCUCUCCUAAGACCCCUGCAACCCGCCAGGCCAGGGGCCCUUAGCAAAGCCAGCACUUGAAGUAGGAGGAAGGGGCUUCUGUGCAGACUGACCCACGGGGCUGCUCCCCCCAGGGCUCCUCCAGGGCAGGACCCACAUUUGCUCCUGAGGGCGGAGCCCAGAGCCUUUCAACUCCAGACCUCAGGCCACAAAGGACCCUGGCAUCCAUGUCUAGGUCCCCAGCCAGUUCCCAAGUUGGCAAUUUUGGAUACAAGAGAGAGAUGGGGGAGCCCCUGAAACGGGGGAGAGUCAGUUUCAUUCUUCCUUUUCUUUUACAAAACAUAUGUUUAGUUACAAGAAAUAAAACGAAUUACAUUCUCAUUUGAAAAAAUAUGAUGGUGGAAGAGGUGAGGGAGACACAGGGCCACAGGGCGGCUAUGAGGGCAGCACAGCUGCAGUGUUCCUGAUGCUUAGCAGGAGAAGGGGCUCAUUCUCUCUUUGUUAGGUAAGCCCUGCUAGAGCCUGGGGUGUUUCCUUCCAGACCUGCCUCUGCACAUUCACAACUCUGGCUUCUCGUUAGCUGCUUGUCUCGCACUGACCGUGCGAUGCUGAGCCUCCAGCACUUGUCCCACCUUGGAAAGCGUGAGUGUCGUCAUUUACUUGGCAGACAUUUAUUGAGUGUGGCUGCAUCCUAGGUACCGGGCACCCGGCACCGAGCUGAGCCCAGACAAAGGAACGGCCUCUUGGGUGCCCCUGGGCAUGGUGAGUCUCAGCUGGAGACCUCGGCUGGGCACGGCCCUCCCGGGGGGGCUGCCCGCAGAUAGGUGGACAGAGGGGUGUUUUUGGUGCGGGAACUCGCUCCAACAUGGGACUUAUUAUUCUUGUGAUAACUGCCUUGCUUGUGAAGGUGGUUCACACAAGGCCGAGUUCUCUGGGGUCAAGAGGACAGAUCAGUGAAACACACUCUGGCCUAAGUUAGGCCCAGGCAGAUGUAUUUAAUUCUAUGUCUACUUCUUGGGAGGAGCAGAGUUUGUGGAUUCAGGUCAUCUUACCAAAGGAAAGCAACAUCCAAUAUUCAGACACCUAAGAUGAGCACCUUGAAAUAAAGGCUUCUGUCCUUUUGUUUUUGGCGGCACUGCGCAGCAUGCAGAACUCACCUGAACAGGGAUCGAACCUGCACCCCCUGCAGCGGAAGCAUGGAAUCUUAACCACUGGACCGCCAGGGAAGUCCAAGGCUGCCGUUCUUGUAAAGCAAUAAAGAAGAAAACAAACAAAUCAGCCUGCAGUUAAAGCCUAAAUGUUGGAGAAAGGCUCAAAUGUCAUUCAGCUCACCUGGCAUCAAAAAGUAAGAAAGACACACACGCAUUUGAGGACCUGAAGCCCAUGGAGACUGGGCCGCUUGCCCAGGUACACUGCUCCCUUUGCCCCAACAAUCAGCUCUCCUCUGGACAUGGGCCGAGAGUGGCUCUCCUGCGCCAGGAUGAAGCUGGAAGAGACACGAGAGGCAGCGACACAGUGUCUGAUGCUGAGAGGGCUUGGAGGAGCACAUGGGGCUUUUGCAAUUCGUGUGUGUUUUAAAUCUCCUUAUCCACGAAGAGGGUAGAGUAAACUCAAGGGAGAAAGAAGCUCGGGUCUUCAAAAACAUUGUCCUGAAACAUUAACCAAAAAAUAAAAAGGAAAAAAAAAAGAAAAAAAAAUCCAGCCACCAAUUGGUGGAUCACUGCCCUGAAUUUCACGUACCUUCCAG
This is a non-coding RNA of Delphinapterus leucas (beluga whale), 2000 nucleotides long. Lineage: Eukaryota; Metazoa; Chordata; Mammalia; Artiodactyla; Monodontidae. The record is from RefSeq and is a predicted model, not a curated record.